AAGUCGUAACAAGGUUUCCGUAGGUGAACCUGCGGAAGGAUCAUUAGCGAGUGGUUUUCCCGCGAGGGAGCUGCCCGACCUGUUGUCAUUUGCGCCGGGGGUGGGGGAUGUGUCGGCGAGAGGGUACCCGGAGGGGACGUUUGUCUCGGAAGGGGGGCCUGGGGCCGGCGCACCGCCGCACCGGGAUUUAAACUUCGGCGGAAGAGGCAGGCGUCGACCUGCCCGCCGCCGGCGGCAAGUCUUUACAUCUUGAGGAGAAGCUGAAGUCUGAAGAAGUGAAAAACGAAGAAGAAGCAAAACUUUCAACAACGGAUCUCUUGGCUCUG
RNAcentral lists this unclassified non-coding RNA (326 nucleotides) under Scolecobasidium sp. RNAcentral's name for it is "partial contains small subunit ribosomal RNA, internal transcribed spacer 1, and 5.8S ribosomal RNA". The stretch from base 1 to 46 matches the Rfam family "Eukaryotic small subunit ribosomal RNA", at positions 1786 to 1831 of the family's 1831-position model. The record is from RNAcentral. RNAcentral also lists the same sequence under 1 other name. Lineage: Eukaryota; Fungi; Ascomycota; Dothideomycetes; Venturiales; Sympoventuriaceae.